AUACGUAGGGGGCGAGCGUUGUCCGGAAUGAUUGGGCGUAAAGGGCGCGUAGGCGGCCCGGUAAGUCUGGAGUGAAAGUCCUGCUUUCAAGAUGGGAAUUGCUUUGGAUACUGUCGGGCUUGAGUGCAGGAGAGGUAAGUGGAAUUCCCAGUGUAGCGGUGAAAUGCGUAGAGAUUGGGAGGAACACCAGUGGCGAAGGCGACUUACUGGACUGUAACUGACGCUGAGGCGCGAAAGUGUGGGGAGCAAACAGGAUUAGAUACCCUGGUAGUCCACACUGUAAACGAUGAAUGCUAGGUGUAGGGGGUAUCGACCCCUUCUGUGCCGCAGUCAACACAAUAAGCAUUCCGCCUGGGGAGUACGGCCGCAAGGUUGAAACUUAAAGGAAUUGACGGG
This 396-nucleotide ribosomal RNA is filed under the name uncultured bacterium. RNAcentral's name for it is "partial 16S ribosomal RNA". It matches the Rfam family "Bacterial small subunit ribosomal RNA", at positions 523 to 917 of the family's 1533-position model. The record is from RNAcentral.